CUCUCUCGCUCCCGUGUCUGCUGGUGACCCGCGUGGUCGCGAAGCCCCAGGGGAAGAUGGCGACGACGGCUGCCCGAGGCCCAGGCACGGCGUGGCCGGCGCUUGGCGCCUCGUGCGCGGCGCGGCUGAGGACAGAAUGGUGGCUGGAAGUAUAAGAGUCUGUCUGUAGACUUCAAUAUUUCAGAGGAGUGAGAUGUUCACAGGAAGGGUGGAAAGCAGCUCCCUUGGGCUUAUGCGGGCCUUGGACCAGACCUAAUCUGGGUGGAAAAAGAGAACUGGGUCAUGGCUUACCAAAACUUGGUGGAAGAGUGGAGCCUUCUGUUCUUCAGACCCUAUUAAUACAGAUUCAAGGUCAAGAGCUGAAACUGGAUAUUGCAUGAAUUAUGUGUCCAUAUUGCAAGCCUGUUAGUCUGCGAUAGAAGAACAUCACAAAAUAUCUGAAUGACCCUGGGAACUAGCAACUGUUUUUUUGAGCACAAACAUUUCUGCUCACUCUUUUACAUGUAUAAGAUGCAUACUGUUUAGUGCACAAAUUAAAAUUUUCAAAUCAUU
Gopherus flavomarginatus (Mexican gopher tortoise) is the source of this 552-nucleotide long non-coding RNA. RefSeq lists it as uncharacterized. The record is from RefSeq and is a predicted model, not a curated record. The transcript has 5 exons. Lineage: Eukaryota; Metazoa; Chordata; Testudines; Testudinidae.